This 77-nucleotide transfer RNA is filed under the name Felis catus (domestic cat). It matches the Rfam family "tRNA". From Rfam's summary of the family: Transfer RNA (tRNA) molecules are approximately 80 nucleotides in length. The record is from Rfam by way of RNAcentral. Lineage: Eukaryota; Metazoa; Chordata; Mammalia; Carnivora; Felidae.
GCUCAGUUGGUUAAGUGUCUGACUCUUGAUUUCAGCUCAGGUCAUCAUAGUUCGUGGGUUCGAGCCCACAUUGGGCU